UCCGAUAUCUAUUGUUACUACCAUAUAUAUUUCCAGAUCACAUAGAUACUUUUCAGCAAUAGCUAACAAUUAGAAAUUCCACACUCAUACGUGAUAUUAUAAGCUUCCUUGGGAUGCCGUUUGUUGUCGGAUGGUAUAACAUGCAAAGCACGGCUAGCAAAGGAAGUAAGAGAUGCACAUUAGAUAUGUAGAGUACAUAUUUAUAAUAAGAAGUAUGUAAGAUGGCUCAAGAUAAAACCUGAGAAAGGUAAGCUAAGGUAACCCAGACUCCCAGCUCUAGUCCUAAGUAGCAUACACGGCAAUCCCCAAAGGCACGCACUGUGAAUUUUUUACAGGCUGCAACAAUGAACCACACCAUGCCAAAGCUUUGUUCUCUUUCAAAAUCGGAAUAUCACUUACUGGCAUAAUAAUAAAAAUGGAUCAAAAGUGAAUGACAUAAGGCUCAGUUGCACUGCUACUUUUUUUAAUACCUAUUGACAAUGGCAGAAUCAUGUAGAGUAGAGUUUGAGACCGAGCAGUUGAACGCAUAGUACGAACUGUAGCGUCCGGGAGAGAAAUUAAGAACAAAGAAAGUAUUUGCACAC
Molecule: long non-coding RNA, 584 nt
Filed under: Zea mays
Lineage: Eukaryota; Viridiplantae; Streptophyta; Magnoliopsida; Poales; Poaceae
Description: long non-coding RNA (ZMAY_LNC004434)
Source: RNAcentral